Molecule: ribosomal RNA, 543 nt
Filed under: SRB bacterium enrichment culture clone SRtB-otu6-2
Lineage: Bacteria
Description: bacterial SSU rRNA
Rfam family: Bacterial small subunit ribosomal RNA
Source: RNAcentral
GACGAACGCWGGCGGCGUGGAUUAGGCAUGCAAGUCGAACGGUAGAUAUUCCUUCGGGGAUAUUGAGAGUGGCGAACGGGUGAGUAACACGUAGAUGAUCUACCCUCAAAUGGGGGACAACCCAGGGAAACUUGGGCUAAUACCGCAUGAGUGUGGCGCAUAAAUUAUCUUUUUUAGAAUGGGGUAAUUUAUGCGCUACAUAAAAGGUGGCCUUCGGGCUGUCGUUUGAGGAUGAGUCUGCGUCCUAUUAGUUAGUUGGUGAGGUAAUGGCUCACCAAGGCGAUGAUAGGUAGGCGGCCUUAACGGGUGGUCGCCCACACUGGGAUUGAGAUACGGCCCAGACUCCUACGGGAGGCAGCAGUCGAGAAUAGUCUACAAUGGACGAAAGUCUGAUAGUGCGACGCCGCGUGAACGAAGAAUCCCUUCGGGGUGUAAAGUUCUUUUAUAUGUGAGCAAUGCUUUUUAUGUGAAUAGCAUGAGAAGAGAGAUAUUAGCAUAUGAAUAAGCAACGGCUAACUCCGUGCCAGCCGCCGCGGUAAUACA